This 375-nucleotide ribosomal RNA is filed under the name uncultured eukaryote. RNAcentral's name for it is "partial 18S ribosomal RNA". It matches the Rfam family "Eukaryotic small subunit ribosomal RNA", at positions 592 to 976 of the family's 1831-position model. The record is from RNAcentral.
CAAUAGCGUAUAUUUAAGUUGUUGCAGUUAAAAAGCUCGUAGUUGGAUUUCGGUUAAGAGCGACCGGUCCGCCGUUUGAUGUGCACUGGUUGGUUUUAACUUCCUGUAGAGGACGUGCUCUGGGUUUAACGACCUGGACUCGGAGUCUACGUGGUUACUUUGAAAAAAUUAGAGUGUUCAAAGCGGGCUUACGCUUGAAUAUUUCAGCAUGGAAUAACACUAUAGGACUCCUGUCCUAUUUCGUUGGUCUCGGGACGGGAGUAAUGAUUAAGAGGAACAGUUGGGGGCAUUCGUAUUUCAUUGUCAGAGGUGAAAUUCUUGGAUUUAUGAAAGACGAACUUCUGCGAAAGCAUUUGCCAAGGAUGUUUUCAUUAA